ACCAGAUAAUAUUUGUCCCUUACUAGGAACUUUUUUCAUUGCCUUGUUUUUCAGUUCUGGUUCCCUUACAUAAGCAAGAGUAUAAGUAUUUUUCCAGAAGAACACAGGUGCAGGGUUGGACAAUAUGAGAAGUUGCACCAAAGCUCGGAGCUAAGUAUUCUUUAUGAACCUGGAUUCUAAUCCUUCGUCAGUCAGAGGGAACCAUGAGAAUUGAAAUGAAAUAUUCGUACAAACUGGGGCUCGCUAAUUUGGUAGACUACAUGUGGAGUCAUUACUUCUGGCUAGAGAUCUAGAUUUGAAGCUGCAUGAAGGGUUUAGCCAGAGAAACGUAACAAUAAACAAAUCAUUCUGUCUGCUGAGUAAACUGAGUUGGGAAAAUCUAGACUGGAGGUGGAAGACCAGUCUGUAACUUCAGGCCUCAAGUAAGGAAAUGUCCACUGGGAUAGACAACAAUGAAUGGAAUGAAAAGCAUCAAGGAGGCAGAGUCACCAGGACUUAAUGAGUGAUUUGAUUUGGUGGGAAAGAGAAGGAGAAGGUAAGGAUGAUUGGCUGGCUCGAGGAAUGAUGUAACUGGUGGCACCAUUUGCUGAGAUGGGGAAUGCUGGAGGAAGAGGCUGGUGUCGAGGCUGCAGAUGAGUUAAAUUGGGGGCAGAGAUUUCUAAAUCACAGGCUUAAAGUAAUAAUUGGAACAGUCUAGUAAAUGAGAUCACACAGGCAGGUGUAGAAGCAAAAGAGAACAUACAAAUAUAAACAUAAAAGUAAUUGCUGUUAUUACAAGAUGUUUAUGGAGAAACCGUAAAACCAUUUAACAAACCUUUUAAGAUCAAAAGCUUAAUACAGUACUUUGAAGAAAAUUAGACCCCGACUUCAAGUUAUAAGAUGAACUAAUUUUCCCACUUUACCAAGGAACAUUUCAAAGGGGAAAAAUCCUGCUUAGCUGAUACUUAGUUAUAGGGAAAGGAACUAACAUUUAUUGUGGUCUGUUUUUAUGUCUGGUACUUUAUAUCUUAAUCAAUCCCCAAACCUACCAUAUGCAAGUAGAAUUAUUAUUCCUGUUGAUUAAACUGGGGCCUUGAGAUCUAACUUGUUAAGGUCACAGAGCUGGUAAGUGGGCUCACAGGGCCGCCUGAUGCAGGAACACUGGUUCUUUGCACCUUAGUCCUCUGCCUCACUCCUCAACUGACCACAAAGAUUACUUCUAACAAUUACUCCAAAACAGGGGUAGUCAAUUUUAAGGACACAGUACAUGGCAGUAUUACAGACAGCGGCAGGAUAUGACAUCAGCUAGUGGGUUGUGGAGGUUCUCAGAGGGAAAGCAAAUUUGGGCAUGGAAUCUCAGCCAUGAUACCUAAGCAAGUGAGCUAGUCAAAUCAUAUAUUUACUCUACAAAUAUUAUUGUGUGCCUCUACUGUGCCAUUGUUCUAAGCACUAAAGAUAUGGUAUUGAAUAAAACACAUAAAAUUUCCUGUUUUCAUGAAGAAUUAAUAUGCUUUAGGGGAGACAAUAAGUUAUAUAUUGUCCUGCAAGAUAAUACUCGGGAGAAACAGGCGUAGAAAGUGCUAGGAUGCUCAAGCAGUGGUCAGCAAAAGACUCACAAAGUGGGUAACAUUUCAGCAAAGUCAUGAAGGAGGUAAGGGAACAAGCCAUGGACAUCAAGAGGCAAAAUUCCAGGCAGUGGGCAUAGCAAGUGCAAAGGCCCUCAGGCAGGGUACACCUGGCAUGGUAGGGGAGAAGCCAGGAGGCUAGUGUGGCUGGAACACAAGUGGCUUUGUAAGGUACUUGAGGACUUAAAUUUCUACUCUGAGAUCAGAGUUGAGGCAGGAAGGACACUCGAGUUUAAAGAUAUAUGUCCUACACUUAAGGAAUCCAUACUCUAGUGGGAGAGACAAAACAAGACAAAUUAAAUAGUAACAGACAUAAAACAAGUGAUAAUUAGGUGAGAAACUGUGUGACUCAGUUGGAGGACUAUAUCCAUUUAUGAGAAGUUCUGUGAGGGUGAAAAUGAGAAGUGCUUCCUAUCGGGGGAUACUUUAGAGAGGUGGGAUCUGAAAGUAGGGUAAGAUUUAAAUUCAUAAGAGAGGAGGGUGUAAUAUUUAAUAUUACCUCCUGUGUACCAGGUAUUGUAUUGGGUGCUACUGGGGAAUACUGGGGGAUUGUGGGGUACACAACAGAAAAAAAAA
Vicugna pacos (alpaca) is the source of this 2180-nucleotide non-coding RNA. The record is from RefSeq and is a predicted model, not a curated record. NCBI's taxonomy places the organism in Eukaryota, Metazoa, Chordata, Mammalia, Artiodactyla, Camelidae.